Molecule: long non-coding RNA, 2644 nt
Filed under: Equus caballus (horse)
Lineage: Eukaryota; Metazoa; Chordata; Mammalia; Perissodactyla; Equidae
Description: lncRNA (ENSECAG00000051310.1)
Source: RNAcentral
CAAUGGGCAAAAUUAACCAAACAAAGAUGCCUCUUCACUGGCAGCCUCACAUACUGCCGGCCCCUGGAACAGGCCCAAUGGGGAGGGAAAAUCAAGUCAGUUCAGCCCAAAAAAAGCCUUCUCGGCACUGGCAUGGAGCUGCCAGGGGAAGCUGCCAGGGAGGCAGACUGGCGGACCCCGGAGCUUGCUUGCCGACGUGAGCGAUGCGUCAGUGAGAAAGGGCGCGACAAGGCCAGGGCUCCAGUGGGCCUUGGGGCUGCCCCUCGGUGGGGCUGAGAGCCACCCCCAUGCCUGUCCUCACUCUUGCUCCCAUCCCCGGCCAGUGGUCUGGGUAGAAACACUGCCAGGGGACCCGCUUGGCCACACUGCCUGCUUUCUGCAGGAAUCUUCUCCCAGAACCCCUGGACCUCUCCUCUGGGCCAAGACCCCAUGUGUUCCCCAGACAGCGUCUGACCUGCCCAAAGCACCUGGGGAGAGAGUUCAUGAUGUCACCUACAUCUCAGCAGUGUCUGAACUCUGCAGCCUCUCUCCGCAGGCUCUGCUCACUGCUAUCCACCUGCGCGCCCCACGGGUGUAUGAGCAGUGAGCGCUCAGCCCAGGAGUGCAGGCGAGAGGGCAGAGCUGGGCGCGCCUGGCUCCCCAGCCUGCCCGGCUGGGAGAGGGCCUGGGGCUCUGCUCUCCCUGGACAGCUGUCGGCUCGUCCCUCCAGCCCGUUGGCCCUCGGGAGGCCGGGAGAGGGCUGAGGAGGGCAGGCUGCAGUGGCCAUGCGGGCUGGCGCUGGACGCCAGGCUCGAUCUGGUUCUUCACGUUUAGCCAUCAUGGCGGCUGUGCCAGCAGUUCUUGCUUAACUCAGUCUGACCAGACGGCAGAGAGGAAAAGAGUCCAGGGGAAGAAAACAUCAUGGUAAAAUCUCAAAGGCCUGUGCACAGUGUUUGCGGCACAGAUGCAGGGACUCCAGCAGGCGUCUAGUCUGCAGACGGGGCCACGGCAACACCGGUCCAGGGGCCUUGCUGCCCCAAGUGGGAUGAACCUGGGGGCUCCGAGCAGGUCCUCCCCUCCAGCCCUUGGGUCCCGCCGACCUGCACACACAGGCGGGGCUGGCACAGCUGCCAGGAGGGCCCAGCAGCUCAGGCAUUGGAAUCAGAUGGACACAGCCCAGGUUCUGUCGGUGCCGCCCACCGGCCGGCCAAGUGACACUGGAAAAGGGACCUUGCAUCCCCGUGCCUCUGUUUAUCCACAGUCAUGUACUGCACAAAGACAUUUUGGUCAACGACAGACCACAUGUAUGACGGUGGUCCCACAAUUUCCGUACUGUGGCGCCCAGGUGGGUGGGAGGCUCUCCCGUCUGGGUCUGUGUAAGUUCGCACUGAUGUUCGCACGACGACGUUGCCUAAGGAUGCGUGUCUCAGGACGUGUCCCCAUCUUUAAACAACACGUGACUGUGUUUAUCUGAAAGGGUGGUUGUAAAGCUCCAUAGUUGAACACGGGUAAGGAGAAUAUGUUCACCGUCCGGUUGCUCAGACCAGUGACAUAGGGACGUGUUAAAAGCAGCCAGAGAAGAAAGACACGUUGCUCAGGGAAACACAGAAAUCAGGAGGACAGCAGGUCCCUCAUCAGAAAUGGCAUCGCUAAUGCCCUGGACGAAAACAGAACACUGGGCACGUAGACUCCACCCGGGGACAGCUCUCAACCACAAACAUGGAGCGAAGAUUGUUAGACACGGAAAAGAUGAGAGCGCGGCAGCAGCCCUCUUGCACGAGAAAUAUCAAAGGGCCUGAGCUGUUGACCAGCCGACAACAGGAUGAGUCUGAAAACUAUUACUCUGGUGAGAGGACAGUCUGUCCUGUGUGAUUCCCUGUCUGUGAAACUCCAGGAGAUGCUCAUGAACGUGUGGCGACAGGAAGAGAUCAGCGGGAGCCGGGAGCUGUGUGAAGGCGAGGUGACAAAGGGGCACAGCUGUUGUCAAGGACCCCGGACGGUGCCUGUCUGUGGCCGUGAGCAGCGGAAGCGUUAGCAUUGCCCAAACCCUCCUGGUCGGGGCGUGGAGUGAGUGAAGGGACCUGUUCUCCCUCUCUCGCCUUCUGUGGCCCGUUUUGCAGAUGAAGGCCAGGCACACUGAGGCCUCAUUGAAGCUCCCCGGGGCCCAGGACACUGGCUGAAGCCUGGCCCCUGCCAAGGCCUGCCCCGCACCCCACCUACCACGCUGCAUUAGAGGACCCCCCCCUUGUCCAAGCUCCACAGCUCAGAGGAGCCCCCUGGGACUCUCACUCUCGCUGGGUUAUUUUGGGAAGCUGUUAAUGAUUCUGUUUGCCUUUCCAAUGACCUCAAAAGUUCCACUGCCACGGACCCCAACCCCUGCUGCCCGCCGUGUGCCCAGCUGCCCCCUCCCUCCUUCCUUCCCUCCUGCAGGCGGGGAGGCCCCCUCUGCACACCCAAUGACAGAGGCCAUGUGGCCCAGUGGUUAGGGUGGCUGUGCUGCCAACCCGCUCAGCCAGCCUGGUCAACUCCCCCUGCCUCUGUUUACCCUCUUAUGCAGCGGGGGCAUCACAGCGCCUGUUGCCACGGCCACCGGUCGUGGAGGAGAUGACCAGGUGGCGAGCAGCGCUGGCAGGUGUUGGCGUUGUUGCGGUUGCCAGUGAUGGGG